This 77-nucleotide transfer RNA is filed under the name bacterium. RNAcentral describes it as "tRNA-Asp". It matches the Rfam family "tRNA". From Rfam's summary of the family: Transfer RNA (tRNA) molecules are approximately 80 nucleotides in length. The record is from RNAcentral.
GGUUCGUUAGCUUAGUUGGAUAAAGCGCCACCCUGUCACGGUGGAGAUCAUGGGUUCAAGUCCCGUACGAAUCGCAA